UUUCCGUUGGUGAACCAGCGGAGGGAUCAUUACCGAGUUUACAACUCCCAAACCCAAUGUGAACCAUACCAAACUGUUGCCUCGGCGGGGUCACGCCCCGGGUGCGUCGCAGCCCCGGAACCAGGCGCCCGCCGGAGGGACCAACCAAACUCUUUCUGUAGUCCCCUCGCGGACGUUAUUUUUACAGCUCUGAGCAAAAAUUCAAAAUGAAUCAAAACUUUCAACAACGGAUCUCUUGGUUCUG
Molecule: unclassified non-coding RNA, 244 nt
Filed under: plant metagenome
Description: partial contains small subunit ribosomal RNA, internal transcribed spacer 1, and 5.8S ribosomal RNA
Source: RNAcentral